GACCCAGAGAUUACCAGAACUUUUGAGUUCACCUAACCUAUAUUUCUCCUACAAACCAUUCAAUAAAAAUGACUAUAUGGAUGAAUGUCAUCUUGACACUCUUCAUUUUUAAAGAUGUUCUGGCUGAUGUUUCUAUAACUGAAUCAGGAGGAGGAGUGAAAAGACCUGGAGAUUCUCUUCGACUUACUUGCACAUCCUCUGGGUUCAGUAUUGAUAGCUACUGGAUGCACUGGGUCCGUCAAGCAGAUGGAAAAGGUUUGGAGUGGAUCUCACAAAUGAAUAAAGGCACCACAUAUUACGACAGCUCUUUUAAAGGGUGAUUCACAAUCUCGAAAGAUAGUUCCAGGAACCUAGUUUACCUAGACAUGAAUGGACUGAAAAGUGAAGACACAGCCAAGUAUUACUGUACAAGGGAACACACAGUGGAG
Non-coding RNA from Pseudonaja textilis, 428 nucleotides. Lineage: Eukaryota; Metazoa; Chordata; Lepidosauria; Squamata; Elapidae. The record is from the annotation of a RefSeq genome assembly.